This 492-nucleotide ribosomal RNA is filed under the name Malassezia restricta. RNAcentral describes it as "eukaryotic LSU rRNA". It matches the Rfam family "Eukaryotic large subunit ribosomal RNA", at positions 122 to 617 of the family's 3401-position model. The record is from RNAcentral. Lineage: Eukaryota; Fungi; Basidiomycota; Malasseziomycetes; Malasseziales; Malasseziaceae.
CUGGCGCUCUUCGGCGUCCGCGUUGUAAUCUCGAGACGUGUUUUCCGUGCGGCUCCAUGGACAAGUCCCUUGGAACGGGGCAUCGUAGAGGGUGAAAAUCCCGUACUUGCCAUGGAAGUACCGUGCUUUGUGAUACACGUUCCAAGAGUCGAGUAGUUUGGGAUUGCUGCUCAAAGUGGGUGGUAGACUCCAUCUAAAGCUAAAUAUCGGGGAGAGACCGAUAGCGAACAAGUACCGUGAGGGAAAGAUGAAAAGCACUUUGGAAAGAGAGUUAAAAGUACGUGAAAUUGUCGAAAGGGAAGCACUUGAAGUCAGCCAUGCUGCUUGAGACUCAGCCUGGCUUUUGCUUGGUGUAUUUUUCGGUAGCAAGCCAGCAUUGGUUUGUGUCGUCGGAGAAGGGUCCGGGGAAGGUGGCAUCCUCGGAUGUGUUAUAGCCCUGGGCUGGAUACGACGAGGCAGACCAAGGAACGCAGUGUGCCCUCUUGGCGGGUC